RNAcentral lists this long non-coding RNA (1645 nucleotides) under Populus tremula. RNAcentral describes it as "long non-coding RNA (PTRE_LNC002497)". The record is from RNAcentral. Lineage: Eukaryota; Viridiplantae; Streptophyta; Magnoliopsida; Malpighiales; Salicaceae.
CAGCAACGGAAAUCCCAAUCAAGGUCAGCAAUGCAUGCUUCAAGGAAAAGGUCAGCUAGAAAAUAUCCGACUCCAGCUAAUCACGUACUUAGGUCACGAUACUGUUUACAUGGACCAAAAUAACAUCACCUGCAAAUUACAAGUGCCAUUAUAAACAGAAACUACGAGUUUAUAUGCAAUAGGUGGAUUAGAGUUUCAGACAUCCAAGGAAGGAUAAAGCAGCAUAAGCUCUCAAGCCUGGCAAAGGCGAAAGCUCUUAGGCGGCCACUGCGAAUGUUUUGGAGAAACAAGCCUUUGGAUUUGUCAUCAUCAACUUAGAUUUCAAGAAAAUAGAUAUAUUUUUAGUUUCAAGUAUCAGAAAGGAGGCGGACAAAGCGGACAACAUAUGUGCAAAUCUUUACAAAAGCUGGAUGUUGAGAUCACACAAGAGCAACAUCGGACAUGCAUCAAGAGAACGAAAACGGUUCAAUUUAAAAUAACAAUGGCAUCAAAUUAGCUAAUGUAAAUUUUAGAAGAACUGCUGAAACUUAUUUUAGGUGCAAAUUAAUAAUCAAAGCCGCAUUAAGAGCACAAAUCUGAAAACGGUUUCAAUAAACACAAAAUAUAGAGAAAAGCAAUAGGAGGAUUUGUCUUCCGCAUAAUCGGCAAGAAAGUUGGACAAAAUAAAACGAUUAAUUUCAACCCAGAAUAUUUUGAGAAACAGGCCUUUGGAUUUGUUGCAACAUUUCUGAAAACAUUUAGCAAAUUCUCGGAAUUGAAGACAAAACAGCUGGCAUCAAACGCACGCAAAAUGCUCAAAACAAAAGAAAAUGUUUCAUUUAAUUAUACAGCCGAUUAGGCACUUGAAUAAGAUUGAAUUGAGAUCUCAGACAUCCAAGGAAGGAUAAAAGCAGCAUACGCUCUCAAGCCUGGCGAAGGCGAAAGCACUUAGGCGGCCACUGCGAAUGUCUUGAGAAACAAGCCUUCGAAUUUAUCAUCAUCGACCUCCAAAAACUUUAACAGCCAAAUUACGUAUUUGCAACAAAAGUAAUUUCUAAAACACAAGCAAAUCAGACGAUUAAAUAUGCCUCAAAAAGUUGAGUUCAAUAUAGAUUAAGCUCCAUUCACACAUCUAAUUGAUUCAUCAUCUUUGGCAACUCUUUUAGCCCAAUUGAGCUAAACAAAAAUCAACCCAACUCAAAAAAGUAACGAUGAACAAAAAUUAAAGAAGGUUUUAAAUGUUUCCCACCAAAUAAUGAACCAUUCACAUGAAUAUCAGAGGACCUGUAGCUCCCAUUGAUAGAAACAAGCAUAGAUAAGAAAAGGUUUAAGACCAAUACAUACCUAGCAGUUCAAAAAACAGGAAAAGCAAACAGAUCCAGAGAAAAAAAUGGCUCAUGAAGAAAAUUCAGGUGGAGUAUAAGGAGAAACUCAAUAGGAGAACCCUUUUGAAAAACUCCUAAAAGAAAGUUCAAUAUUGCGCAGCAAUGACUCAAAACGCUUCCAUUUUAUAAGGAAGGCGAUCUUAAGGGCGGCGCUUAUUAGAAGAAAAAAAACCCUAAAAAAGUUCGAUAGAUUGUCAGGAGAGGAAAGAGUAAAAACCCUAUAAUGGAGAAACCCUAGAGCUCCCUGUAAGGGUCACACGAGUUGUACAUCGCUAUUUAUA